AGAGUUUGAUCCUGGCUCAGGACGAACGCUGGCGGCGUGCUUAACACAUGCAAGUCGAGCGAUGAAGCUUCCUUCGGGAAGUGGAUUAGCGGCGGACGGGUGAGUAACACGUGGGUAACCUGCCUCAAAGUGGGGGAUAACCUUCCGAAAGGAAGAUUAAUACCGCAUAAUAUAGGAGAAUCGCAUGAUUUUCUUAUCAAAGAUUUAUUGCUUUGAGAUGGACCCGCGGCGCAUUAGCUAGUUGGUAAGGUAACGGCUUACCAAGGCAACGAUGCGUAGCCGACCUGAGAGGGUGAUCGGCCACAUUGGAACUGAGACACGGUCCAGACUCCUACGGGAGGCAGCAGUGGGGAAUAUUGCGCAAUGGGGGAAACCCUGACGCAGCAACGCCGCGUGGGUGAUGAAGGUCUUCGGAUUGUAAAGCCCUGUUUUCUAGGACGAUAAUGACGGUACUAGAGGAGGAAGCCACGGCUAACUACGUGCCAGCAGCCGCGGUAAUACGUAGGUGGCGAGCGUUGUCCGGAUUUACUGGGCGUAAAGGGUGCGUAGGCGGAUGUUUAAGUGGGAUGUGAAAUCCCCGGGCUUAACCUGGGGGCUGCAUUCCAAACUGGAUAUCUAGAGUGCAGGAGAGGAAAGCGGAAUUCCUAGUGUAGCGGUGAAAUGCGUAGAGAUUAGGAAGAACACCAGUGGCGAAGGCGGCUUUCUGGACUGUAACUGACGCUGAGGCACGAAAGCGUGGGUAGCAAACAGGAUUAGAUACCCUGGUAGUCCACGCCGUAAACGAUGGAUACUAGGUGUAGGGGGUAUC
RNAcentral lists this ribosomal RNA (808 nucleotides) under Clostridium botulinum. Its description in RNAcentral is "bacterial SSU rRNA". It matches the Rfam family "Bacterial small subunit ribosomal RNA", at positions 8 to 833 of the family's 1533-position model. The record is from RNAcentral. Lineage: Bacteria; Bacillati; Bacillota; Clostridia; Eubacteriales; Clostridiaceae.